CUCUUCACCAAAGGCCCCUUGGGUCCUUUGGACAUGACAAAUCUCAGUGCUCUGGGUCACUGCAGCACCAGGGGCUCGUUUAGGUGCUGGAGUUCAGGAACCCCUUCCCAGUGGAGGGGUCAGGCGCUCCUGGGGCUGAACACCCAUCUGGCCACCCUCAGGACAUGCUGCUCCUGCUCACUGCGGGCUCCUCCUGCUCUCCAAGGGGAUGGCACCUCUCCACGUUCUUUUCUGUGACUCCAGACAGGCACUGAGGGUGAUCAUCAGCACUCCUGAGCUGGGAGCUGCUCUGGGGCUGCUGCCAGGCUCUGAGCCCAUGCCUUGGGAUCCUUGCACAAAUGUUGCUCAGGCGUUGUGAGACAGAAUGAUAGACGUGAGUCCUACAGAAAUAAAGCUAAUACUGAGCUUGCUUCUUUCCUUUCAGCAGGCUUUUGGAUUCCAGCAGUGUGGCACAGAAACCCUGCAGGGAUGAAGACACUUUUCCUCGUGGUGUUUGUCCCAGCCUGCCCCUGCCAGGUGUCUGCAGCAGGGGGAAGGACCCAGGGCUGUGGCCAGGAGCACCAUGGCUGGUGGUGAAUUGAACAGAGAGAAGAUGGUCACAUAUUUAGCAUGGAAGCUUUGUGCAUCUGUGGAAGCUGGGAACACUCACACAGCCUGGCAAGGGGAGCACGGGUACAGACUCAGUCACAUUUCAAGCAAGCAGUGUAUUCCCAUGACAGCAACUUCCCUCAGAACUGAAUCCAGGGUCACAGACAGAGCUUUGUAUCCAUUUAUUCUCUAUGGAUAUAGAUCCCAGACUUUAGGGGAUGCUUUACAAUGCAGACCCAGAAAUGCCAACUGCCCCAAACCCCAACUGAUUCUGGCUGCAGGAACCACUGUUUGCUCCAGCAUCAUCUUUCUUUUGGCACCAAGCUCCUGUUCGAGACCUUUUAGUAAACAGUAUUUUGGAAAUGGACAUGAUAAGAGAGAAGUAUUAUCAGCAAAACUUGUGUUUUUUCAGUAG
This 1003-nucleotide long non-coding RNA is filed under the name Cyanistes caeruleus (blue tit). RNAcentral describes it as "lncRNA (ENSCCEG00000008777.1)". Lineage: Eukaryota; Metazoa; Chordata; Aves; Passeriformes; Paridae. The record is from RNAcentral.